GCGGAUCAGCAUGCCGCGGUGAAUACGUUCCCGGGGAUUGUACACACCGCCCGUCACACCAUGAGAGUCGGGAACACCCAAAGUCCGUAGUCUAACCGCAAGGAGGACGCGGCCUAAGGUGGGUUCGAUAAUUGGGGUGAAGUCGUAACAAGGUAGC
This 157-nucleotide ribosomal RNA is filed under the name uncultured bacterium. RNAcentral describes it as "partial 16S ribosomal RNA". It matches the Rfam family "Bacterial small subunit ribosomal RNA", at positions 1344 to 1500 of the family's 1533-position model. The record is from RNAcentral.